CCUGCCAUGGGAGAACACAUCAUGCCAUCACAAAUGGGUCCUUCGGAUUUCUCAGAGAUUUUCCUCUGUGGAUAAUAAUUUCUGCCUUUAUUAUGUUUCUGUUUAAUGAAACACAGAUACUGCACUUUCAAGCUGUCACUUAUAGAUGACACCUACAUCACAUUAGGUGGUUCUGCCCUACAAAAUCACUUUUUGCUCUUCACAGGAUCUGACUGUGAUGCAGGGGUCAUUCUACAGACCUCCUUAUCCUUAUACUAAGGAUAUUUUAUCCUUAUACUAAGGAUAAAAGUGAGCAAAGACAGCCAGGGGAAAAAGGAUCAGACUGAAUGAGAUGUCUUAACACUGGAAAUGGUAAAAAUUGUAGCUGAGCAUUUGGAGACAGUAGUGAAUAUGCAAACUUUGAAGGCAAUGCUACAAAAGAAGAAUUUGUCAAAAAUAAAGACAAAAAUAAAUGCAUAA
Non-coding RNA from Taeniopygia guttata (zebra finch), 459 nucleotides. The record is from RefSeq and is a predicted model, not a curated record. NCBI's taxonomy places the organism in Eukaryota, Metazoa, Chordata, Aves, Passeriformes, Estrildidae.